This 596-nucleotide small RNA is filed under the name Arabidopsis thaliana (thale cress). Its description in RNAcentral is "ATSL190850". The record is from RNAcentral. Lineage: Eukaryota; Viridiplantae; Streptophyta; Magnoliopsida; Brassicales; Brassicaceae.
AUUAAAUUAAAUAGUUGACACAGUUGUACUUUUUUUUUCGGUAUAGAUUUAUUAUUUAUUACAAAUUAUGAGAACUGUUAUAUAAUCGAUUUUAUCACGGAUAAUUCAUUCCGAUCCUUAUUAGAUCCACAAUUGAUGACACCUCCUUCUCCUUCUCAAUGCGCUUGAUGGACACCUUCAAUAUCUUCUUUGCGUGAAAUCCUGGUGAAUUGAACGGCUAUAUUUGUAUGUCGUUGUAGACUAAGUUGAUAGAUUAUCUAUUAAUUUUGGGUUGCCUGAAUUUUCAACCCUAUACUAGUUGGAAUCUCAACUUUCCACCCUAAACUUUUAGUCAUUUGAAAAACCACCAUAAAAAACUUUAAUCUCGAUAAAACUACACGUACUUUCGGAUUUGUUGUUAAAACUAUGUCUCCAAUUGAACCGACCAGUUAACCGAUAAUUAUACACCCGGUUUGAAUUACCCAAAAUUUAACCGAACCUAAUUCGAUUUUGACUCUAUUUUAACCCAAUUUUGACCCAAAAAAUAUAUUCUCUAGAAGAAGAAUACUAUUUAUUUAUUUACAUUUAAUUUUGAUAAAAAUACUAAAUUAAUUAAU